AUCCUGCAAACCAUCAACCUGAACAAACUACUGUAUCAUCUGAAUAGUGUUAGGUUUUAAUUCAAAAGUAUUUGCAGCUACAGUAGGCCUAACUAUGCUAGAUUCAGUUCCUGUUAAAGAAUGUUUAGCAUAAUCAUACAUAAUACGUGGAGUAGGAUUUUGAUAAGCCGCAAUUGCAGGAGGUAGCUGAUUGUCUUGGUUUUCAGCCAUCUCGUCAGUUGGGGGUUGAGUAUCGUCUUCUCG
This 243-nucleotide long non-coding RNA is filed under the name Gossypium barbadense (sea-island cotton). Its description in RNAcentral is "long non-coding RNA (GBAR_LNC001378)". The record is from RNAcentral. Lineage: Eukaryota; Viridiplantae; Streptophyta; Magnoliopsida; Malvales; Malvaceae.